UGCCAGACUCCUACGGGAGGCAGCAGUGGGGAAUAUUGCACAAUGGGGGGAACCCUGAUGCAGCGACGCCGCGUGGGUGAAGGAGUACUUCGGUAUGUAAAGCUCUAUCAGCAGGAAAGAAAAUGACGGUACCUGACUAAGAAGCCCCGGCUAACUACGUGCCAGCAGCCGCGGUAAUACGUAGGGGGCAAGCGUUAUCCGGAUUUACUGGGUGUAAAGGGAGCGUAGACGGUGAAGCAAGUCUGAAGUGAAAGGCGGGGGCUCAACCCCCGGACUGCUUUGGAAACUGUUUGACUGGAGUGCAGGAGAGGUAAGUGGAAUUCCUAGUGUAGCGGUGAAAUGCGUAGAUAUUAGGAGGAACACCAGUGGCGAAGGCGGCUUACUGGACUGUAACUGACGUUGAGGCUCGAAAGCGUGGGGAGCAAACAGGAUUAGAUACCCGAGUA
RNAcentral lists this ribosomal RNA (446 nucleotides) under uncultured bacterium. RNAcentral's name for it is "partial 16S ribosomal RNA". It matches the Rfam family "Bacterial small subunit ribosomal RNA", at positions 329 to 792 of the family's 1533-position model. The record is from RNAcentral.